Molecule: ribosomal RNA, 445 nt
Filed under: uncultured bacterium
Lineage: Bacteria
Description: partial 16S ribosomal RNA
Rfam family: Bacterial small subunit ribosomal RNA
Source: RNAcentral
GUGAGGAAUAUUAGACAAUGGGCGCAAGCCUGAUCCAGCCAUGCCGCGUGCAGGAAGACGCAUCUAUGGUGUGUAAACUGCUUUUGUACGGGAAGAAACACUCCCUCGUGAGGGAGCUUGACGGUACCGUAAGAAUAAGGAUCGGCUAACUCCGUGCCAGCAGCCGCGGUAAUACGGAGGAUCCAAGCGUUAUCCGGAAUCAUUGGGUUUAAAGGGUCCGUAGGCGGUUUAAUAAGUCAGUGGUGAAAGCCCAUCGCUCAACGAUGGAACGGCCAUUGAUACUGUUAGACUUGAAUUACAAGGAAGUAACUAGAAUAUGUAGUGUAGCGGUGAAAUGCUUAGAUAUUACAUGGAAUACCAAUUGCGAAGGCAGGUUACUACUUGUGGAUUGACGCUGAUGGACGAAAGCGUGGGGAGCGAACAGGAUUAGAAACCCUUGUAGUCC